AUCCAGCUGACGAGUCCAAAAUAGGACGAGACGCGCAUCAGACUGCAU
Molecule: non-coding RNA, 48 nt
Filed under: Schistosoma haematobium
Lineage: Eukaryota; Metazoa; Platyhelminthes; Trematoda; Strigeidida; Schistosomatidae
Source: RNAcentral